Molecule: ribosomal RNA, 936 nt
Filed under: Triticum aestivum (bread wheat)
Lineage: Eukaryota; Viridiplantae; Streptophyta; Magnoliopsida; Poales; Poaceae
Description: partial small subunit ribosomal RNA
Source: RNAcentral
AUGGUUUGGUGGAAGCUUUGUGUUCCUAAAAGUGAAGGACAUAUGGGGUUUCGGGACCUAUACAAUUUUAAUCUAGCAAUGCUUGCAAAACAAUGCUGGAGGCAGAUAACUGAACCAGAAUCUUUGGUGGCAAGAAUGCUUAAAACAAAGUAUUACCCAAAUGGGUCUCUACUGGAGGAAACAUCAAAGAAUGACUCCUCGUUUACUUGGCAAAGUAUUCUAAAAGGGCUUGACACCUUCAAAAAAGGUUAUAUAUGGAGAAUUGGAACUGCAGAGAAGGUAAACAUUUGGAGAGACCCAUGGAUUCCAUCUAGUGCGGUCAGAAUGAUAAUCACUCCAAGAGGUCAAACAAUUAUUACAAGAGUAUGUGAACUAAUUAAUCUGGUUAAUGGGUCAUGGGAUGAAGCCUUGAUUACAGAAUUGUUUAAUCCGGUGGAUGUUCGCAGAAUACUUUAGAUUCCUUUACAUUUACAAGGUUUUCAUGACUUUAUUGCUUGGUACCCAAAUAGAACAGGAACAUUUUUCGUCAUAAGUUCUUAUCAUAUGCAAUGGAUGCAUAGGUUUCGGGGGCAUGCAAUGAUGGAGAGACACCCUGGUGGGUCUACCCCAUUAGCAGUCUGGAAAACACUAUGGAAGCUUCAAGUCCUACGUAAGGUUUAGAUUUUUGGAUGGAGAACAUUGCGAGGAAUAAUUCCGCUUCGAGCUAUACUUGCUAAUAGACAUAUAGGUUCAAAUGGGGAUUGUCCAAUUUGUAACCAGGGAGCGAAGGACAUCCGACACCUGCUUUUCCAGUGCACUAAUGCGAGGGAGUUAUGGAGUAGACUGGGUGUGACACAUAUUAUUGACCAAGCAAUUCAAGUGGAUAGAUCUGGUUCGGCGAUUUUGAAUUUAUAUUGUCUUUACGAGACCAGCAGCUCGCGGUUCAUCAAGACAUGA